This 253-nucleotide ribosomal RNA is filed under the name uncultured bacterium. RNAcentral's name for it is "partial 16S ribosomal RNA". It matches the Rfam family "Bacterial small subunit ribosomal RNA", at positions 524 to 776 of the family's 1533-position model. The record is from RNAcentral.
UACGGAGGGAGCUAGCGUUGUUCGGAAUUACUGGGCGUAAAGCGCACGUAGGCGGCUUUGUAAGUUAGAGGUGAAAGCCCGGGGCUCAACUCCGGAAUUGCCUUUAAGACUGCAUCGCUUGAAUCCGGGAGAGGUGAGUGGAAUUCCGAGUGUAGAGGUGAAAUUCGUAGAUAUUCGGAAGAACACCAGUGGCGAAGGCGGCUCACUGGACCGGUAUUGACGCUGAGGUGCGAAAGCGUAGGGAGCAAACAGG